RNAcentral lists this ribosomal RNA (254 nucleotides) under uncultured bacterium. Its description in RNAcentral is "partial 16S ribosomal RNA". It matches the Rfam family "Bacterial small subunit ribosomal RNA", at positions 524 to 776 of the family's 1533-position model. The record is from RNAcentral.
CACGUAGGGCGCAAGCGUUGUCCGGAAUUAUUGGGCGUAAAGAGCUCGUAGGCGGUCUGUUGCGUCCGCUGUGAAAACUCGGGGCGUUAACCCCGAGCCUGCAGUGGAUACGGCAGACUAGAGGUAGGUAGGGGAGAAUGGAAUUCCGGUCGUGAGCGGUGAAAUGCGCAGAUAUCAGGAAGAACACCCGUGGCGAAGGCGGCUCUCUGGGACGGUACUGACGCUGAGACGCGAAAGCGUGGGGAGCGAACAGG